This 1436-nucleotide ribosomal RNA is filed under the name Limosilactobacillus fermentum. Its description in RNAcentral is "bacterial SSU rRNA". It matches the Rfam family "Bacterial small subunit ribosomal RNA". Lineage: Bacteria; Bacillati; Bacillota; Bacilli; Lactobacillales; Lactobacillaceae. The record is from RNAcentral.
UGCAGUCGAACGCGUUGGCCCAAUUGAUUGAUGGUGCUUGCACCUGAUUGAUUUUGGUCGCCAACGAGUGGCGGACGGGUGAGUAACACGUAGGUAACCUGCCCAGAAGCGGGGGACAACAUUUGGAAACAGAUGCUAAUACCGCAUAACAGCGUUGUUCGCAUGAACAACGCUUAAAAGAUGGCUUCUCGCUAUCACUUCUGGAUGGACCUGCGGUGCAUUAGCUUGUUGGUGGGGUAACGGCCUACCAAGGCGAUGAUGCAUAGCCGAGUUGAGAGACUGAUCGGCCACAAUGGGACUGAGACACGGCCCAUACUCCUACGGGAGGCAGCAGUAGGGAAUCUUCCACAAUGGGCGCAAGCCUGAUGGAGCAACACCGCGUGAGUGAAGAAGGGUUUCGGCUCGUAAAGCUCUGUUGUUAAAGAAGAACACGUAUGAGAGUAACUGUUCAUACGUUGACGGUAUUUAACCAGAAAGUCACGGCUAACUACGUGCCAGCAGCCGCGGUAAUACGUAGGUGGCAAGCGUUAUCCGGAUUUAUUGGGCGUAAAGAGAGUGCAGGCGGUUUUCUAAGUCUGAUGUGAAAGCCUUCGGCUUAACCGGAGAAGUGCAUCGGAAACUGGAUAACUUGAGUGCAGAAGAGGGUAGUGGAACUCCAUGUGUAGCGGUGGAAUGCGUAGAUAUAUGGAAGAACACCAGUGGCGAAGGCGGCUACCUGGUCUGCAACUGACGCUGAGACUCGAAAGCAUGGGUAGCGAACAGGAUUAGAUACCCUGGUAGUCCAUGCCGUAAACGAUGAGUGCUAGGUGUUGGAGGGUUUCCGCCCUUCAGUGCCGGAGCUAACGCAUUAAGCACUCCGCCUGGGGAGUACGACCGCAAGGUUGAAACUCAAAGGAAUUGACGGGGGCCCGCACAAGCGGUGGAGCAUGUGGUUUAAUUCGAAGCUACGCGAAGAACCUUACCAGGUCUUGACAUCUUGCGCCAACCCUAGAGAUAGGGCGUUUCCUUCGGGAACGCAAUGACAGGUGGUGCAUGGUCGUCGUCAGCUCGUGUCGUGAGAUGUUGGGUUAAGUCCCGCAACGAGCGCAACCCUUGUUACUAGUUGCCAGCAUUAAGUUGGGCACUCUAGUGAGACUGCCGGUGACAAACCGGAGGAAGGUGGGGACGACGUCAGAUCAUCAUGCCCCUUAUGACCUGGGCUACACACGUGCUACAAUGGACGGUACAACGAGUCGCGAACUCGCGAGGGCAAGCAAAUCUCUUAAAACCGUUCUCAGUUCGGACUGCAGGCUGCAACUCGCCUGCACGAAGUCGGAAUCGCUAGUAAUCGCGGAUCAGCAUGCCGCGGUGAAUACGUUCCCGGGCCUUGUACACACCGCCCGUCACACCAUGAGAGUUUGUAACACCCAAAGUCGGUGGGGUAACCUUUAGGAGCC